CCUACGGGUGGCAGCAGUGGGGGAUAUUGGACAAUGGGGGAAACCCUGAUCCAGCGACGCCGCGUGAGUGAAGAAGGAUUGCGGGAUGUAAAGCUCUAUCAGCAGGGAAGAAAGAAAUGACGGGACCGGAGUAAGAAGCCACGGCUAACUACGGGCCAGCAGCCGCGGGAAUACGGAGGGGGCAAGCGUUAGCCGGAAUUACGGGGUGUAAAGGGAGAGUAGACGGGAAUGCAAGUCUGGAGUGAAAGGCGGGGGACCAACCCCCGGACUGCUCUGGAAACUGUGUAACGGGAGUGCAGGAGAGGCAGGCGGAAUUCCUAGUGUAGCGGUGAAAUGCGUAGAUAUUAGGAGGAACACCAGUGGCGAAGGCGGCCUGCUGGACUGUAACUGACGUUGAGGCUCGAAAGCGUGGGGAGCAAACAGGAUUAGAUACCCCAGUAGUC
This 443-nucleotide ribosomal RNA is filed under the name uncultured bacterium. RNAcentral describes it as "partial 16S ribosomal RNA". It matches the Rfam family "Bacterial small subunit ribosomal RNA", at positions 338 to 795 of the family's 1533-position model. The record is from RNAcentral.